Molecule: long non-coding RNA, 1662 nt
Organism: Chelonoidis abingdonii (Abingdon island giant tortoise)
Lineage: Eukaryota; Metazoa; Chordata; Testudines; Testudinidae
Source: RefSeq, a predicted model, not a curated record
UUGUAGCUGAUCUCCCUGUCCUAGAAGUUGAAAAUGAUUAUAUAUAAGAAACCCAUGGAUCACCACACUUAUCUCCACUGGUCCAGUAACCACCACAGAUGCACCAAAAAGUCUGUUAUCUACAGUCAUACAUUUAAGGUAGAAUGCCAGGGCACACCGGACAUCGAGGGUGUGAAGACUCAUUUUCAGAGAAAGCAUGGGGCUUCCAGGAAAAAUACAAGUUAUACAACCAAGUGAAGAAAGACACAAUUCUGACUCAUGCAAUGUGGCAGUAAGAAGGAACUGGAGAGGUGUUGACCAUCACUGCCUCUUAUAUCCUCAGUUGAGAGCACGAGGAGAGCUACUGCAUGUGUGUGGGCCAGCAGACACCGCUUUGAAGAAUUUCCAGACUUGGGUGCAUGACGCUUAUGUGUUCCCCACCUGUGGAAUACACAUAGGGAGCAGCACUCAAAGAAGAAAUCUUUCCCAACCAACCUCUUCUGGUCUUCAAGCUCAUUCCCCCUCUCCCCACCCCCAUCUCACCAAGCUCAUCAUCAGAAACAAGCUCCCCACAAACCAGGACACACAAACUCAAAGCAGCACAAGGCCCUGCCAGAACAACAGAUGCAAAAUGUGCAGACAUAUCUACACCACUACAGUUAUCAAUACUCCCCACAACACACCUUUCAAGAUCCUUGGGUCCUACGCAGGCCUAUCACAACAUGUGGUAUACCUCAUUCAGUGUAUCAAAUGCCCCAACAAUAACUAUGUGGAUGAAACUAGACUAUCGCUAUGUUCUCAAAAGAACUCACACAGAAAAAUGAUAAAAGACAAAACCACCCUAUCACCCAUAGGCACUUUUCACAAAGUGAUCAUGGCAUAUCUGACCUCUCAGUCCUAGCCCUCAAAGGAAACAUUCACAACACCUUCUAAAGAUGAACCUGGGAACUUAAAUUCAUAACUCUCCUAGAUCUUAAAAAUCAUGGUCUCAACAUGGUUUUAUGGUUCAUUACAACAAUCUGUAAGGCCCUGCCUGCUAAUAAUCCUUAACUGCCCACUUAAUUUUAAGUGGUCUCCUACAGCAUGUGUGAAUCUGCUAUGCUUAACAGUGUCUCAACUUGUCUUUUGCUUAGACGACCUGAAGAAAAGUUCUGUGAAUCUCAAAAGCUUGUCCCUUCCACCAAGAGAAGUUGGACUAUUAGAAGAUUUACUUCACCUACCUUACACGGCUACACCACCACUGCAAACAACUGGAUUAUAAUAUGCAGUUAUAUUUGAGCAACAUUAAGUACAAUCUUCUAAAGAGAUUUAAUCUUUUACGUGAAUUAAAUAGUUAGAUAGCAAAUUUAAUACAUGGGAUUGGAGAUGGCAAGUUUUUGGUUCUUCCUUAAAGCAGGGGAGCUUUCUGUGCAGUAUGAGCUCUGUAGGCAGUAUAUAUAAAUGUCUACAAUAUAGCCUUGCUUGUAAAAAUAAAUCUUUCCAGUGGGCUACUGGCACAAGAAACAUUUCCCCCUUUAUUUAGAGAUUAUAACUCAGUGUCUGGAAUUCGUAUAGGACAUUAAUGAACAAACCAAAAAAAUACUCAUUAUUCCUAAAUUCCUUAAACUGAUAUAGCACUGGAAAUGUUAAAUUCAUUGUUUUUAAACGUGGAUGCCUAACAGUAACCUAAAUCUAUAUUUAGCC